This 484-nucleotide ribosomal RNA is filed under the name uncultured bacterium. RNAcentral describes it as "partial 16S ribosomal RNA". It matches the Rfam family "Bacterial small subunit ribosomal RNA", at positions 30 to 507 of the family's 1533-position model. The record is from RNAcentral.
AUUGAACGCUGGCGGCAGGCCUAACACAUGCAAGUCGAGCGGAUGAAGGGAGCUUGCUCCUGGAUUCAGCGGCGGACGGGUGAGUAAUGCCUAGGAAUCUGCCUGGUAGUGGGGGAUAACGUCCGGAAACGGGCGCUAAUACCGCAUACGUCCUGAGGGAGAAAGUGGGGGAUCUUCGGACCUCACGCUAUCAGAUGGGCCUAGGUCGGAUUAGCUAGUUGGUGGGGUAAAGGCCUACCAAGGCGACGACCCGUAACUGGUCUGAGAGGAUGAUCAGUCACACUGGAACUGAGACACGGUCCAGACUCCUACGGGAGGCAGCAGUGGGGAAUAUUGGACAAUGGGCGAAAGCCUGAUCCAGCCAUGCCGCGUGUGUGAAGAAGGUCUUCGGAUUGUAAAGCACUUUAAGUUGGGAGGAAGGGCAGUAAGUUAAUACCUUGCUGUUUUGACGUUACCAACAGAAUAAGCACCGGCUAACUUCGUG